GACGAACGCUGGCGGCGUGCUUAACACAUGCAAGUCGAACGGGUCUGCCCUGUUUUUUGCGGGGUGGGUCAGUGGCGAACGGGUGAGUAACACGUGAGUAACCUGCCCCUCACUUCUGGAUAACCGCUUGAAAGGGUGGCUAAUACGGGGUGUUCUGGCUGUGCCGCAUGGUGUGGCUGGGAAAGAUUCACUUUUGUGGUGUUUUGGUGGGUGAUGGGCUCGCGGCCUAUCAGCUUGUUGGUGGGGUGAUGGCCUGCCAAGGCUUUGACGGGUAGCCGGCCUGAGAGGGUGGGCGGUCACACUGGGACUGAGAUACGGCCCAGACUCCUGCGGGAGGCAGCAGUGGGGGGUAUUGCACAAUGGGCGGAAGCCUGAUGCAGCGACGUCGCGUGAGGGAUGGAGGCCUUCGGGUUGUGAACCUCUUUCGCCGGUGAAGAAGGUCCUGCUCUUUGUGGUGGGGUUGACGGUAGCCGGGUUAUGAAGCGCCGGCUAACUACGUG
RNAcentral lists this ribosomal RNA (500 nucleotides) under uncultured bacterium. RNAcentral's name for it is "partial 16S ribosomal RNA". It matches the Rfam family "Bacterial small subunit ribosomal RNA", at positions 28 to 507 of the family's 1533-position model. The record is from RNAcentral.